Molecule: long non-coding RNA, 5426 nt
Filed under: Equus caballus (horse)
Lineage: Eukaryota; Metazoa; Chordata; Mammalia; Perissodactyla; Equidae
Description: lncRNA (ENSECAG00000050436.1)
Source: RNAcentral
CAGCCUGGAGGCAAAAGAUGUGUGGGUAUUUAUUUAUUUAAAAUCAUAGAUUAUACAAGCAAUACUGAAUACAGCUUCAUCAUUAAAAAAUCCAAGCAGUUUAGAAACACAUGGAGUAGAAAGGUAAAGCCCCCUUUCUACCUCUCCCCCUAUGCUUAAGCUUACGCUACUAGUAGGCACUGUUAAUUAUUUGGGGGAAAUGUUCAGACUUUUUGCUGUGUAUUUACACAUAUGUAUGGCUGGCAUAAUAUUUGAGAAAUUAAUCUCUUUUUACCACCUGGAUUUUUCCCUUUUCCACUCUCACAUUCAUGAAGCUCAUUUCUCCCCGAGUCAGCUCCCCAGAUUAGAAAAUGGAAUCAACCUUCAGGUGUCUCUGGCUUUUGUGUGCCAAGAGCUUAUGCACUUAGGGAAACUUCAGGAUUUGUGGAACAGCUCAACACAGCAAAGAUCCUUGCACACAGCCUGAAUGCCUUGGCUGGAAACAAGGUGGAAGAAGGAUUUCCCCUGGAGUAGAAAGACCUCCACUCCAACUCUUUGCAGCCCUCCCCCCCCAAAACUGGCCAGGGGCUGGAGAGACGAGGGAGAAAGAUCUGUGGUCUCUGGAGUCCCACCCUGCCUGCUGGCAGCUCGUCUUACUCCUGGGCAGGCAGGAGUAAGAUCCCAGAGAGUGGUGGCCACAUGGUGGGGCCAAGCUGUGAGGACACAGGCAACCUGGCCCAACAUUUCUGGCUGCCCCCUGGCACAGAGCAGCAGAGGCUACUAGACCUGACCUUGGCCAACUUCACAGCCACCUCCUCUGUCCCAUGCUUGCAGUUCUCAGUGUUCUGGAGAACUCAGAUACACCUAGAAUUAAGUUUCCUGUUGCCAGGAUGGAAGCAUACCAUAAACAUUGAGUUGAGCUAUAGAAAAUAAAGUUUGGUCUCCUGAAUUUGUGAAUUAAGAUUUAUUCCUGUGGCUUGUACUGUUCAUUGUCUGCCACUUUUGAAAAAAAUUUCACAAUGUAUCUUCAAGAUGUUUCCACAGCAGUAUGUAUAGAUUUAUCGUAUUCUUUUUAAAAAUAAUAUUAUUUAAAAAAAUGCUCAUAGUAGGAAAUUCUGACAGUACCAAAGGAGAAAGCAGAAGUUCUCUAGUCCUCCAUUCCCAUACCCUAGGUGUAACUGUUGCUAACAGCUUCUUGAGGGUUUUUCUAGAAAUUUUCUAAGCAGAUAAAGACAUGUAUAUAUUUCUAUAUAGCUCUUUUUAUAUACAAAUAUUAUCAAACUACAUAUACUUAUCUGCACCUCAUUUGAUUCUUUAACAAUUUGACCUUAUCAUUGAAUAAAUUCUAUUUAAGUAGAUAUAGUUUGACUUCAUUUCUUUCAGUGAUACCUGGUAUUCCAUAGAAUGAAUGUGCUACAUAUAUUUAACCAGUUGAUUGGCAUAAGAUUCCAGAUUUUUAGCUAUUAUCAAUUAAGGGCACAAUGAACAUAAUAAUAGCUGGCGUUUGUUGACCACAGACAUCAUUCCUGGCAUAUAGUAAGUCGCAUAACCUUUGUAACAGCCCAGUGAGAUAGGCCCUGUUAUUGUCCCUGCUUCCCAGGUGAAGGAACUAAGUCACAAAGAGGUCAAUAACUUUCCCAGGGUCACAUAGUUGAGAGGUGGUAGGUCUGGGAUUUGAACCAGGCAGCUGGGUCCCAAGCCUGCACUCUGGAUGAGUACAGCACAACACCUGCAGGGAUGCCGUGUACCUGUGCUAACAUAGCCGUAGAGUACAUUUGUAGCAGUGCUGCUGCUGAGUCGGAAGAAGUGCUGAUAGACUUUAAUAGUGUGAAGUAGUCAGGAGGUUACUUUACUAAAACAGCACAAGUGCAGAGCCCACUUGUUUCCUAAAAAUAGAGGGGCUGCAGAUCCUGUGCCCAGAGGCCUCAUUGUAAGGGCGUUUUCUCUGCCGUGGCCAGGGCUUCGGCUCUGAAUCCUAUUUGGCCUUCUCUCCUCUGGGCUGGACUGGGCUCCCAGGAGUCUUGGUAAACCCUGCUCAUUCCCUCUUACUAAGGCCACAGCCACAGGCUGCCAGAGAAGUCAGCCCCUGGGCUCCUUUUGUUUCUGUACCCUCUUUGUCUCUCAGGGGAGAGGGUGCCUCCCAACUAGAUGGCUGCCUAGGCCCCAGUUUCCUAUUCCAUCUGCAAGAAGAGAAAUUGGCAGCCACCUAGAGAGAGAAUUGGCCACUCUUUGAUUCCCUGCCUGCAGCUCCUACGUCUAACCACAAGGGGCCCCAAUGUGGGAUCUCCAGGCCUGCACAGAGGUGGGAGGUCAGAGAGUGUGGCAUGGCUUCUCCACGGCAGUAGCUUUUGUAGGACUAUAUCAGCAGUUCUCAAAUGGGGGCAAUUUUGUACCCACCCCCACCAGCAGGGGACAUUUAGCAAUAUUUGGAGAUAUUUUUGGUUGUCACAACUUGGUGGAGGGUGGGGGCUGCUACUGGCAUCUAAUGGUAGAGAGAGGCCAGGAAUGCUGCUAAAUAUCCCACAGUGCACAGGAUAGCUGCUCACAACAAAGAGUUGUCAAGCUCAAAAUGUCAAUGGUGUUGAAGUUGAGAAACCCUGGGCUACAGAAGGGCAGACAGUGCCCAGCACGUGACUGUCACUGUGACUCCCUUUGCUCUCGUUAGCAGUGACAAACACUGAUGUCUUGCUCACCUAUAGCUCGCUGCUAUUCUAAGUGCUUUAUAUCCAUUAACUCGUUUAACCCUCACAACAAGUCUAUGAGGCAGCCCUACUGUUAUCAUCCCAUUUUACAGAUGAGGAGCUGAGGCAUGGAGAUGUGAAGUGCCUAGCCCAAGGUUCUCAUGGUGGCAGUCUAGGCUUGGCCUCCCUAUAGCUUCUCACACGUGCUCAUGCAAGUGCUCCUGGACUUGUCUGCUCUCUCUGAUCCUUCUAGAACCUUGGCAGCACCAGGGAUUGUUUAUUUCUGUACAAGGAGGAAAAAAAGUUGACUGAUCUUCUCUCCCUGAUUCUGACUCCUCCAUUUCUGAUGGCUUUUGUAUUUUCUUCUCCAGAGGGUUUAAUUGAAGUGAGUGCUAAUUGCAGAGACUAUGGACAACCAUGAAAAUUUACUUGUUGAAUUUGCAUGAAAAAAUCCUCUGUUACUCCUACAGUGUUCUCUUAGAGCUCUUUCAGUCUCUGGGCCUACAGGCUAGGCUGCUUGGGUAGUAGCUUUGCUUAGACAUGAGAGCAAACUUUAUCAUCCAGGAUCACAGGAGGAGCUGGGAGAUUAGCCCUGAGCUAACAUCUGCCACCAAUCCUCUUUUUGCUGAGUAAGAUUGGCCCUGAGCUAACAUCUGUGCCCAUCUUCCUCUAUUUUAUAUGUGGGAUGCCUGCCACAGCAUGGCUUGAUAAGCAGUGUGUACAUCCAUGCCCGGGAUCCGAACCAGUGAACCCCAGGCUGCUGAAGCGGAGUGCACAAACUUAACUGCUAUGCCACCCGGCCAGCCCCUCAAGGAUGUUGGUACAAAUUGCCCAAUUGUCUUCCAGAAAAGAUGUAUCAACUUAGACUCUCACCACCAGUCCUGUGAGAGUAUCUCUUUCACUACAUCCUUCCCAACACAAGGAUGAGCUUUGAAGUCAUUGUGCCAAGUCCUGCUUGUUCCUUUGGACUACACAGUGGGAGCUGGAAACAUGGGUGACCCCCGUAGGGGCUUUUGUAUUCAUAAGCACCAGGCUUACGAACGAAUACAAACACAGCAAGUCCCAGGAGCUGGUUUUGGUGGGGCUGGACUUCUCCAUGCAGAAUCACAUGGCCUCUUUAGGAAGAAGCCCCUCGCCGCCAUUGACCUCCACUUGGGGCAUCCUCCUGUCUCCAGUCCAAAGACAAUCCUGUGGACCUCAGAGCUCUUGUGUCUCUGCUGCUGCAGCACCCAUCCAUAUGUGCCCCACUGUGGCCGAGCCAGCCUGUACUGGGGUGUUCCUGUCCAUCUUGCAGGGGACCCUGCCUCCAGCCAGUGUCCUCUCCAAGCCUGUCUCCUCUAAGGAUUUCCUGUGGGUUAGCUCUGGGGAUCUUUUCUUAAUCUAUUCCUACGUGUGUUAUUACAGAAAGAAUUAUUCAUAAUUGCCAGCAUUGUGAUGGCUUCUUCCUAGUUUCUUUUGAGCCUGCAUGUUUUUCCCUACUUGACAUUUUCUAGGUUCUCUCCUACUUAAGUGACUUCUUCAGGAUCUUUUCUAUUGAGGAGUAAUGAACGAACAGUAAAGUCACAAAUCCUAAGCAUACAUUGCAGUGAAUUUUUACAUAUGUGUACACUAUGUAACCACCCCCCCAAUCAAGGUGUUUCUUUUAGAGUUGAGAAGUUCUUGGUGGGAGGUUGAGUGGAGAAGGAAAUCAUGAGUGUGUCCCCGAGCUACCGUCUUUUUCUAGAACUCUCUUUAAAGGGUGUUAAGGAGGGAGCUGAACGUCAAGUCUAUACAGUGGUGUGGAGAGCAGAAUGCUUAGGCGUGGCAGGUCAUGUUCUGGUCCUCCCCCUUACUAGCCGUGGGACUUCUGUGCCUCAGUUUCAACCACUGUAAAAUGGGAGUAGAUGAUAGCUCUUACCUCACAAGGUUAUCAUGAAGAUUACACGAGGCAGUACAUGUAAGUGCACAAAAAAUGUUAAUUGUUAUUUUUGUUGUUAUUAAUAAUGAGGAGGAGGCACUGGUUCUUAAUGAAGGAUAUGUAUCAGAAUCACCUGGGGCACUUUCGCAAAAUACACAUGCUCAACCUGGCCAGAUCUACUGAGUCAGAAUCUAGAUUUUAAAUGCCUCCCCAGGUUCAUUCUGUUGCUCAUCCGUGGUUGAGAACCACUGGGCUGGAGGUGGUCAUGACUGGAAGCAGGAAGGCCAACAGGUAGCCCCUGCGAUAGUGAGAGCCGGAGAGGAUCAGAGCUGAGCAGAUUUGAGGCAGAGUGGAGAGGUAGCCAAGAUGUGGCGACCUUGGGUGGAGGAGCGAGGAAGGAGGGGGAGGAGUCUGGGGUGACUCACAGGCUGCUGACUGGACAAUGGAGUGAGCAGGUGGAGGAUGAGCCAGAAGUGGGAAUACAGGAAGGGGGCGUGGGGUGGGGCAGUGGGCCAGAGAUUGUUAUAAUUCCCCUUGGGAUUGUUGAGUGGAGACUCCUGGUGGGAAUAGCAAGUUAGUAUUUGGAUCUCUAGGCCUGGGCUUCUGGUGUUUUUCAGGGAGUCAUCGAUGUCAAGGAGAUAGAUAAAGCCAUGGACCUGGUCACAGUGCAAACAUAGAGGGCAGAAGAGGGCUACAUUCACUAGUAUCCACCUCUGGGAAGGCCUGCGUCCACUUCCUGUUUCCUCCCUAGCAAUAGAGAAGCGCUUGUUUCUCGUGUAAUAACCCCUUUGCUGAGGACGUUGGGGAAUAAGCUCAGUCUUCUCACUUGAAGAUGACCAAUGACUAUGGGUCACUUCCUUUCCUUACAG